Molecule: microRNA precursor, 115 nt
Filed under: Anopheles arabiensis
Lineage: Eukaryota; Metazoa; Arthropoda; Insecta; Diptera; Culicidae
Description: microRNA mir-981
Rfam family: mir-981 microRNA precursor family (bases 14-103)
Source: RNAcentral
CGUGGGACGGCAGCCUUAUCUGGAUCGGGUUUCGCUGGCUAACGUGUUGUGCGCGCGAGCAAAUUCUUCAAUUCGUUGUCGACGAAACCUGCACGGAGUAAGGCACGGAGCACCA